Homo sapiens (human) is the source of this 710-nucleotide long non-coding RNA. Ensembl annotates it as PPP1R3B divergent transcript. Its record names the gene PPP1R3B-DT. The record is from Ensembl. NCBI's taxonomy places the organism in Eukaryota, Metazoa, Chordata, Mammalia, Primates, Hominidae.
GAUACCUCUUGCGUUUCUUGCAGAUCCCCUGCCUGCAGCACGUGCUGAUCUCCAAGGGUGAGGCUGGAUGAAGCCAGGGGCUAUGGAAAGGGAGACUGUUUCAGAGGACUUGACACCAUCUUCAGUAAUUUCUCUGGUUCUUGGCAGCUCCAUUUGGCUGCGUCCCUACCCUGCAUAACCCUCCCAGCUAGUCUACUCCAGGGCAGCAUCCAGCUGGUGACCUGAGAGGGCAGUGGCGCACCAGUCUCCAUGAAGGUUGAGCUCCGAUGGCCAACAGCCAUUUCCACCUUGUGGUCUACAACUCUUCAUCCCGACUGCAUGGAGGUUGGUCUCUCUCUUCAGCUGGAUUUAGGCCACCAUCUGAGCCCCCGGGGUACGUUUUGUCUGACCCUGGCGCCAUUCGAACGGUUCUUCUACAGCAUCAGGAGAACCUGGCUACAAGUCCCAGCCUUUACCAUGGAGGCUGAAGGUGUGGGGAGGGACUUCAGCCUUCUCCUCAGCCCUGCCCUUACUCUGAGACAAGGAGCACCCCUGGCACCGCAGUGAGAUCUCUGCCCUGCCAGCAGGCAGAGCCCUGGCACAGUCCUUUGCCCCAUCUCUUCUUCCCUCUACUAUUCAAGGUGGCUUACUUUGAAUCCAUUCUUCCUGUCAGGCCAUUGUUCCUUAUCCUCAUUAAAUCUAUGUUUCUUUAGAAAAGCAUUUUUAAAAAA